GGCAUCACGCAAUAAACAAAUCAGAAGCAACGAAAGGUGUGUGUGUGAAUACAACAUUGGCCGAGACAUGUGUGCAAUGGCUGGCUACGGACCCUUGGUGGCAGUGUUGAGCCUGUUCUGUCUGCUGUACUGCACAGAGGCCAAUACACCAUUGUGUGAUCAAUAUUCAACAAACGGCACAAUGGAAUUGGGAGACUUCGUCUCCUUGCUCCAGGAGAAGUUCCCGCAGGUGACGCAG
Sardina pilchardus (European sardine) is the source of this 238-nucleotide long non-coding RNA. RefSeq lists it as uncharacterized. The transcript is spliced from 3 exons. NCBI's taxonomy places the organism in Eukaryota, Metazoa, Chordata, Actinopteri, Clupeiformes, Clupeidae. The record is from RefSeq and is a predicted model, not a curated record.